This 2274-nucleotide long non-coding RNA is filed under the name Triticum aestivum (bread wheat). RNAcentral describes it as "long non-coding RNA (TAES_LNC010946)". Lineage: Eukaryota; Viridiplantae; Streptophyta; Magnoliopsida; Poales; Poaceae. The record is from RNAcentral.
UGGCGCUCGGUGUAGGUGGCCAUGGUGGACCUGAAGCUGGCUGAGAUAAGCGAUGGGGUCAGUGUUGUGCUCCUCCCGUUCUCAUUAACCAAAUAGUGCAGACUGUGGUUGUAUGACUCGUGUAUAUAUCCACUUGGACCACCAAAAUCAAACUGAUAGCAAGAACUUGAUAUGGUGCUAAGUUAUAGUUCGUAAACAGAUCCAUAUUAGUUUAGAGAUCCGCACAAAAAAUUUAUACAUUCAGAAUGACCACCAAAAUCCAGCAGUACAAUUAACUAGAUUGGAACAAUUUAUUUGAUUAAUAUGUGCACAUGAAACAACAAAUUAACCCGUGUGAACUAUCCACAUCGGUCUGAGUUAUGAUGAACUUUUUGAUCUUUUUAUUAACCACAUCAGUGGUCUAAAAGAAUUAAUGAGUAGCAACACAGACUAAGAAAUUGCUAUUUAUCUUAUCUAUGCUAAGAAAUCGGAGACUGGAUUUACCAACAUGGAAGGAUUCCUCAAGAGCACAUUAGCACCUGAAGCUGCUGCUGUCGCAGCUCUACAAUUUUUCUUCUUUCUAGACGCCCGACAGCCCGAGCAUGCAAGAGCAGCAGCACAAGCAGGUCGUGCUGUGCAACAUCAGCAGAGCGCUCUCAGUGCAGCGGAACUACUCGGGCGUCUCUGACGACAGCAUAUUUGAUACUGAAGUUGAAGAUUGUAGUGCGGCAUUCGUAAUAGUAAUAAUUACAUGUAGGCCUAUUUUUGAAUGCCUAUUUUUCAGUUGUUUUGCGAAUUAGACCAAAGAGUAAUGAUUGUUGUUAUCUUGUUGUAGAUCAAAGAUGCCAAGAAGACAACUAAUGUGCCAGGAGGUGCAGGUACUAACAGCAGUUGCCUCUACUUGUUGAAGCUUUAGAUUUUUAUUUCCUCUUUAAAUAGAUCAUAGAUGGUAACCUCAGCUUCAUCCUCAAUGGCUCGUGAUAUUGUAGUAUCUCUUCAUCUAAUUUAUACAUUAGAAGUAAACUGAAUGUGUCAAGACAAUGUACAAAGAAGUGCAACAUAACUACAUAAGGCCCAGCCAUGUUUCCUCUAUAGCAUAUAAAAGUUCAGUACAAUCUACUACUGCCAGUUCUUAAAUAUUAUUACAACCUACAACUCUUAAUAUCUGACAAGCCCAUCUCUUUAUAAACUACUACGGUCUGUUCUUAAAUAUAACAAGCUACAACUACUACUAUGAGUUGUUAACAGAUAAUAUUGCUGAUCAGGAAUCCUAUCUUAUGGUAUUUAUUGCCAAGUUUGUAGGCAUCAUCUUAUCCUUUAUAACCUGUUUCAGACUCACAGAGCUGCCAUGUUAGCUUAUUAACUUGCCACCAGUCUGAACUUUUGAGCUCCAGAAUAGAAUAUUGUAAUUCCGAUGGUGUCGUGCGGCUCAAUUAAGAAACGAUUCUGCGGAAACAUAUUGAUAAUCCAUGUCCUGAUCUUGGUCAAAUAUGUUACAUACUUGAAAAUAGCCACAUCCUAAUUCUGCAUCCUUUCCCCUUGCAUUAGUUUAGUUUGUUUGUUGCCAUACUAAGCUUAUUUUUGAGAACGUGUUUUACUCGUCAUAAGCAUUUCUGUAGCAUAUAUGCACAAGUAGAUUUUCUGGGAAUGCUCUUGCUAAUAAUUCUGGGACAUGAAACCAAUAGGAACUCAAGUGUGUUGAUCAAAUGAUGUUGACAAAAAUAGCAGAACAUUGUUUCCUGUGGUGAUUGAUUCCUGUGGAGAAGGAAGCCCGCAACACUACACUUCACCGCAUAGGAACAAAUAUAUUUGUGUGUAUUCAUGGUCAUAUAAUAAUGUUACUCUCACAUGAACAAUCAAGUAUAAGCUAGCAUGUGCCGCUCUAGCCUAACAAUCUUCAUAUGAGCUUUGAACAACUUUUGGAAUGAUUGCACUUUCGUGACAAAUUCAUAUGGAAUAUUUUCAGGUACUUAGCCACACCUAGCAUUGGAUGUGAGGAGGACUUGGAGUGUCAUGGAACACAUAUGGCUGUUCACAGUAUUUUGGACCAACCAACUUCAAUCAUUUUUCUUGAAUCUUAUGUGUGUUCUGGACCAUUUGGUGUUUCAAGUGUUUUGGAGUAGAAACUUUGUGCUCAUGUAUGUGAUUUGUGUGUUCUGGACCAUUGUUUGAAUUAGUUCAGACUAGCAAAUAGUGGCCCUUUUUAUGUGACUUGUGUGUUCUGGAUGGUCAAACUAUGCUUGUGAACCUGUGUGAAUAUAUAUUUAUGUAUGGUUGUGAACCUAUCAUCAUUGU